AAAUUGAAGAGUUUGAUCAUGGCUCAGAUUGAACGCUGGCGGCAGGCCUAACACAUGCAAGUCGAACGGUAACAGGAAUCAGCUUGCUGAUUCGCUGACGAGUGGCGGACGGGUGAGUAAUGUCUGGGAAACUGCCUGAUGGAGGGGGAUAACUACUGGAAACGGUAGCUAAUACCGCAUAACGUCGCAAGACCAAAGAGGGGGACCUUCGGGCCUCUUGCCAUCGGAUGUGCCCAGAUGGGAUUAGCUAGUAGGUGGGGUAAAGGCUCACCUAGGCGACGAUCCCUAGCUGGUCUGAGAGGAUGACCAGCCACACUGGAACUGAGACACGGUCCAGACUCCUACGGGAGGCAGCAGUGGGGAAUAUUGCACAAUGGGCGCAAGCCUGAUGCAGCCAUGCCGCGUGUAUGAAGAAGGCCUUCGGGUUGUAAAAGUACUUUCAGCGGGGAGGAAGGGAGUAAAGUUAAUACCUUUGCUCAUUGACGUUACCCGCAGAAGAAGCACCGGCUAACUCCGUGCCAGCAGCCGCGGUAAUACGGAGGGUGCAAGCGUUAAUCGGAAUUACUGGGCGUAAAGCGCACGCAGGCGGUUUGUUAAGUCAGAUGUGAAAUCCCCGGGCUCAACCUGGGAACUGCAUCUGAUACUGGCAAGCUUGAGUCUCGUAGAGGGGGGUAGAAUUCCAGGUGUAGCGGUGAAAUGCGUAGAGAUCUGGAGGAAUACCGGUGGCGAAGGCGGCCCCCUGGACGAAGACUGACGCUCAGGUGCGAAAGCGUGGGGAGCAAACAGGAUUAGAUACCCUGGUAGUCCACGCCGUAAACGAUGUCGACUUGGAGGUUGUGCCCUUGAGGCGUGGCUUCCGGAGCUAACGCGUUAAGUCGACCGCCUGGGGAGUACGGCCGCAAGGUUAAAACUCAAAUGAAUUGACGGGGGCCCGCACAAGCGGUGGAGCAUGUGGUUUAAUUCGAUGCAACGCGAAGAACCUUACCUGGUCUUGACAUCCACGGAAGUUUUCAGAGAUGAGAAUGUGCCUUCGGGAACCGUGAGACAGGUGCUGCAUGGCUGUCGUCAGCUCGUGUUGUGAAAUGUUGGGUUAAGUCCCGCAACGAGCGCAACCCUUAUCCUUUGUUGCCAGCGGUCCGGCCGGGAACUCAAAGGAGACUGCCAGUGAUAAACUGGAGGAAGGUGGGGAUGACGUCAAGUCAUCAUGGCCCUUACGACCAGGGCUACACACGUGCUACAAUGGCGCAUACAAAGAGAAGCGACCUCGCGAGAGCAAGCGGACCUCAUAAAGUGCGUCGUAGUCCGGAUUGGAGUCUGCAACUCGACUCCAUGAAGUCGGAAUCGCUAGUAAUCGUGGAUCAGAAUGCCACGGUGAAUACGUUCCCGGGCCUUGUACACACCGCCCGUCACACCAUGGGAGUGGGUUGCAAAAGAAGUAGGUAGCUUAACCUUCGGGAGGGCGCUUACCACUUUGUGAUUCAUGACUGGGGUGAAGUCGUAACAAGGUAACCGUAGGGGAACCUGCGGUUGGAUCACCUCCUUA
This 1543-nucleotide ribosomal RNA is filed under the name Escherichia coli. RNAcentral's name for it is "bacterial SSU rRNA". It matches the Rfam family "Bacterial small subunit ribosomal RNA". Lineage: Bacteria; Pseudomonadati; Pseudomonadota; Gammaproteobacteria; Enterobacterales; Enterobacteriaceae. The record is from RNAcentral.